RNAcentral lists this ribosomal RNA (497 nucleotides) under uncultured bacterium. Its description in RNAcentral is "partial 16S ribosomal RNA". It matches the Rfam family "Bacterial small subunit ribosomal RNA", at positions 28 to 507 of the family's 1533-position model. The record is from RNAcentral.
GACGAACGCUGGCGGCGUGCCUAAUACAUGCAAGUUGAGCGAUGAAGAUUGGUGCUUGCACCAAUUUGAAGAGCAGCGAACGGGUGAGUAACGCGUGGGGAAUCUGCCUUUGAGCGGGGGACAACAUUUGGAAACGAAUGCUAAUACCGCAUAAUAACUUUAAACAUAAGUUUUAAGUUUGAAAGAUGCAAUUGCAUCACUCAAAGAUGAUCCCGCGUUGUAUUAGCUAGUUGGUGAGGUAAGGGCUCACCAAGGCGAUGAUACAUAGCCGACCUGAGAGGGUGAUCGGCCACAUUGGGACUGAGACACGGCCCAAACUCCUACGGGAGGCAGCAGUAGGGAAUCUUCGGCAAUGGACGAAAGUCUGACCGAGCAACGCCGCGUGAGUGAAGAAGGUUUUCGGAUCGUAAAACUCUGUUGGUAGAGAAGAACGUUGGUGAGAGUGGAAAGCUCAUCAAGUGACGGUAACUACCCAGAAAGGGACGGCUAACUACGUG